This is a long non-coding RNA of Pseudomyrmex gracilis, 345 nucleotides long. RefSeq lists it as uncharacterized. The transcript has 3 exons. Lineage: Eukaryota; Metazoa; Arthropoda; Insecta; Hymenoptera; Formicidae. The record is from RefSeq and is a predicted model, not a curated record.
CGCCUGUGUACGUAGUUGGAAAGCACCCUCUCACUCCUAGAGAAACGGUACCACCGACCAUCGUUUUCGGUCUACCUACUGGUUCGGCGGCUGUAGAGCCAACCGGGACACUCGCAGUUUUCCCAGGAAGCAUUCUACACCUAGAUUGUCUCUUCGCAAGAAAACUGGGUAAUCCCGAGUGGACGUGGACAUCGACUCACCGACGAUAUUUGACAGGAUGGGCAAUUGCUGCGCGGGAAAGAAACUGGAAGUAUCGCCUCUCGAUAUACUAUGCCAAGCCUCAAGAUUCAGGAAUGUACACGUGCUCCACUCCCAAAGGAUUGAUCAACUCUAUACAGGUUCAUG